AAAUUACAGAAAACCCCCCUGUAAUAACCCGCUUUUUCACUUUCCCCCCUGACAUUUAAAAACCUACACUUUGCCCCCUUGUAAAAUGAAAAAUGUUCACGGGGGGGUCACGGUGUGUAAAAUGACCAUUUUGCCCCUCGCCAUUGUUGUCUUCUUCCUGAGCUUCCUCAGCCGCCCCUUCGAUCCACCGCUAUUUCCACCUCAAUCGGCCACGAUUCCUCUCCAAUUUCUUCUCCACCUGCUCCCCUUCUCCUCCUACACCGUCGCCGCCCAUCGAUUUCGGCGACAGUAGGGAGGAUACUAAGAUGGGUGUUGAUGGAGAGGUAGGCAGAGACAACGAGGGCGAAGGCGAGGCGGCGGAGGAGGACGAAAGGGNAACGGUUUCCACUAUUGGAAUCCGUUGAGGAUUUUAAUGUUCAACCCAUUCUCUUUAUAAAUUAGAUUAUUCCUCUACAUACUGUUCAUGAUAUAUGAAUAUUGUAGAGAGAAGUAAAAGAGAUGAAAUUUUUUUUUGUUUAAUAUUUUUAUCAUUAGGUGUUGAAAGAGUAUUCGUCAAUCUCUUCGGCGUUCGUGCUCGUAGGAGGAGGAAUUCCGGUCAUAACUUGGGGCGGUGUUUCCGGUUAAUCCCGCACGUAAGGACGGGAAUACGUCUUAGGGCAGUGCCUCGCACGCUUCUGGAUCAAUCAAAUUAUUUAUUUGGAUUUUAGCGUUUAUUUGUAAGUCUGAUUUUAUCUUUAUCAUAAAAUUAGUUAGAUUUAAUCACAAUCAGAUUUUCUUUGCGGUAUUUGUUCUAACAGAUAUAAUAAUGUCAUUGGUCUACAUAUUGUCCCAAAUCAUUUCAUACUAGUGAAGGCCCCGCACUUCGCAGCGAGAAAUUUACGUAAUUUUUAAAAUCUUUUGAAUAGACUAUUCAACAUUAUUUACUAAAGUUGGUUAUAAAAUUUAAGCAAUACAGAAAUGAAUAAUUAAAUAUUUAAAUUUUAAAUUUUUUUAUUAUCCAAAAUUUAAAUUUAAAUUUAAAAUAUAAAAUAUUGAAGUUUCAAAUUUAAAUUUUAACAUAUGAAGUUGAAAUUUCAAUAUUUAGAAUUUAAUAUUUGAAUUUUUUAAAUUCAAUUUAUGAUUUAAUAUUUAAAAUAUUGAAAUUUGAAAUUUAAAGUUUAGAACUUAAAAUUUUCAAAAAAUUAUAUUUUAU
RNAcentral lists this long non-coding RNA (1192 nucleotides) under Ananas comosus (pineapple). RNAcentral's name for it is "long non-coding RNA (ACOM_LNC018107)". The record is from RNAcentral. Lineage: Eukaryota; Viridiplantae; Streptophyta; Magnoliopsida; Poales; Bromeliaceae.